GCGGGGGUUGUAGAGCCUGGCCAAAUAAUAAAAAAAUUUGGAAACGCAGGACUUAAGAUCCUGUCCUUUAGGGGUUCGUGGGUUCGAAUCCCACCUCCCGCA
RNAcentral lists this transfer RNA (102 nucleotides) under Nitrosopumilales archaeon. RNAcentral's name for it is "tRNA-Leu". It matches the Rfam family "tRNA". Rfam says of the family: Transfer RNA (tRNA) molecules are approximately 80 nucleotides in length. Lineage: Archaea; Thermoproteati; Nitrososphaerota; Nitrososphaeria; Nitrosopumilales. The record is from RNAcentral.